This 80-nucleotide non-coding RNA is filed under the name unclassified sequences. RNAcentral's name for it is "skipping-rope RNA". It matches the Rfam family "skipping-rope RNA". From Rfam's summary of the family: Firmicutes, Fusobacteria, AlphaProteobacteria, Spirochaetes. The record is from Rfam by way of RNAcentral.
GUUACUAGAGGUAGAGAGCGUCCCUCUACGCGCCCUAGUGGUCAAAAGAGAUGUGGGAAAGGGGACACCCACCUAGUAAC